CGGUCUUUGAUCUCUUCUCUUUUUCAUGUCCUCAACAAGUGGAUGUGUAGCAUCGUGAGAUGGCAGAUGAUCUCUCAUCUUCACUACCACAGGGGCAUCCUCUUCUUCCUCUGUAGCAAAUUCUCUGGACGCAGAGCCUUUGUUCUUCUCUGUUGUAGGAAUGUCCUUUGUAGUCCUCUUGGGAGCUACAAACUUAUUAGCCUUAGGUGCUAAAUGCUUGAUGGCAGACUUCUUAGGCAUAGCAUCAGCCAUUAGCUUUUUCUUCUUAGGAGGAGGGACCUCGGGUGGAAUUUCUUCGUCCUCAUCAUCAACAGCUUCUGCUGGAUCUUCAUACAUUGUGGUUGGCCUACCAACAGCAAGGAAAAUUCUCUUUCUGGCUCUGUUGUGACUUGCCUUCUUUGCAAGCCUAGCUUCGGGAGCUUUAAUGUCAGCAGGUCUGGCAUUUUCCUUCCUCACAAUCUUCCUCGCUGUGGUCUUCUCCUUCAACUUCUGGGGAACAGUUUCCUGUGGGAUAAAGUCAACAUUUUCUUCAUCAGAAUCGAUCUUCCUUCUAGACCUGGUAGCUGCCUUGGGAAAGCCAUGUGAGCUAGGUGUUCCUGGGUCACAAGGUGUCCUCUUAGGACUAGUGCAUGAGUCCAUGUCAGCACUGGGCUCACUGAAGUUGUUUUGACUAUCCUCUGAUCUUGACAUCCUGACAAACAGCAAAGCACACAUGCACACAAGCAGAGAAGCACAUAAGCAGACCCUCUAAAGAGAUAUAGAAGAGCUGGAAGGGAUGAGUAUCACAAAAAUCAGAAGUUUUGAAAAGCGGAACUCUGAAAAAUUAGGUUUAAUAUUCAGCAAAAAGGGAUUUUGGUUCUACCGAGUCAAAAAAUUCGGAGCCACCAAGACUGAUGUUCUCAUUAACAGAAACUUGACACCCUUUUCAGUUUCACCAAAAAGGAGAACUCGGUUCCACCAAGAAUGUUCUUAGUAACCCUAAAACCAAAUCGGUAAUACCGACCUUUACGAAUCGGUGACACCGAGAUUCAAUUUUGCGGACGGUUAACCCGAAAAUUUCAAUUGUUCUCUAAACUAUGGGAACUUUCUUCUCGAUAGAAUUGACACCAAGAUAAAUCGUGAAGACCUAUUUGCGUAAGAAUUAGAAUUGGGACCGCAGAGAGGGGCCAGAUUCAUACCCUAACUUGGUGGUGAAUCCGCUACAACGACGACGGUGCUGAAGAUUCCCGUCGACGGGGAAGACUCCGGCGGCGAGGGCGCACAAUAGAAUCAAGGAGAUGUCCAUGGGACUAGGGCGCGACAUCGAGGUGGUGCGGGAGGCGAUGUUUGAAGAAUUGUUUCAACCAUCGGGUCCGCGGGAUAUAUAUAUACCCCCUUGCUGACGGUGACACCUAGAUGGAGUUUUCGGUGCCACCGAGUUCCUCAACUGUGAGGUAACAAGGAAACUCCAUGAGGCCGAAAAGAACAACUCGAUGGUGCCAAGAUAGGAAAACCUGAUCAACCCUAGGCUUGGGUGGGACCGAGAUUUUGAGGUUAGUCACACCGAGAUGCACUUUGGGAGGUUUUGGAAUUCAGCCCUUGUCAAGAUGGAUCUCUGAGUUCUCCUCACAUAGAGUGUACCUAAAGUGCUUGCUCAAAUUUUGUGAUUUAGCAUGAAUAGAAUUUGAGACAAGAAAGCAUAGAUAGCUAGAGGAAGGUACCUAGGCAUUCUUGUAUAUCCCAUUGGCCAAUGAAAUAGAAAUCCAAAUAACAACAAUUGGAUAUCCUCUAAUGAAAAAAUAUAUGCAUACCAACAUGCUGAGACAAUAAGAUGUCAAAUAAAACAUGAUGAACAUGCUCAAACAUUCUAGCAUCUAUCAAGCACUUUGUCAAUUACGUAGUCAUCUUUAUAUGAGUAUAUUGACAUAGGAGCCAAGUAAGAAUACUUGAUCAUAGAUCAUACAAAUCGAUUAGAACCAGUGGGGUUAACACUUUUACAUAAAGCAUUAAUGUGUUCACAUCGUCUAGGAGACGCUUAUACUCAAGUCUUAGAGUAAAUCUCCCCCAAGAUGUGGCAUCCCCCCUAAGAGGGAUAAAAUAACCUUGGGUUUUGUCGUAGAAGACUUCAAGUAGGUGUAGUAGUGGUGCAUGCUCAUUGUUGAUGAAGAUCAUCUUGAGCUGGGAGCAAUCCUUGUUGUUUCUUACUCUUCUCACCUUGUCCCUUACUUACCAUUGAGGGAAUGUGUGACUCCUUGAAGUAAUGCAUAUGGUUGGAGUUGAUUGCAUAUAGUUCUUGACAAAAUGAAUAAGAGUGAAUUUCAUUGGCGAGGUCACCCCUCAAGAACUUUCUAGUUUUUCCUCCUAGGGACCCACAUCAACUUGAUGGGAAUCCUUGGAGUUGUGGUACCACUUGAUGAUGUAGUGCUAGUAGUGUCCUUGGGAACCCACUCGGUCUUGGCUUGGGGUUCUUCCUCAAAUAAUUCAAUCUCCUCUUCAAGCUUUCCUUUGCCCUUGUGGUCUUGUUGUGGAAGAUCAUCUUUAAAGCUUGUUCCCUUGGGAGGAGUAGGAUCAUACCUUUCCUCCUGAGGAACGAACUUUGGGAUGGGAUAUAGACCUUCUUCCCAAACAUCUCCCUUGGCAUUGAAUUAGAGAACACCUUUCUUGUUCCGAUGUCCUCCUUCCUUGCGCACAAUUUUCUCGAAUUGCUUACUUCCGGCAAGACUCUUGAAAACACCUUUCUCUAUAAUUCCUUUCCAUAAAUCGUUUUCUUUCUCAAGCGUAACUUGGCUAAGAGAAUCCUUAGUGGAAUCAAUAGAGCUACUAGCAACAACAUCAUUUGAUCUUACUUAACAUUGUUUUUACUAGAUGAAGAAACUUUCUUGCCUUUGUUACUAGUAUUCUUAGGUUUAACUUGUGAAACAAAAGUACGAGCGUACGGCAUAUGUCAUACCAUGUGGGUGUGCAUUCUUUUCAUGGAAUAACAGCAACUCCAACGGGACGACCCAUUUCGUCUGCCGCCGUUCAUUUAGGACCGCACGGACAAAACGGAUGGCCCAGCGCGCCGACCCAUUACCAAAACGCGUCUGUGGCGAUCCAUUUACGGCCCAAAUUUGGGACUACAAUGUGUCGACACGAACGCGAAGCGGACGCGCGCGUGCCUUCUCGGUGUCCACCCCAACCACCCACAGUCAACAUAAUUUAUGAUGGCCGUCCUUCUCAGGUCCAUGCGUCAGCGGCCGCGGUCGACCUUUUUUAAUCCGCCCGAGCGGUGGGCUCCGCCUCAUCUGCUUCCAGAACCCACCCGUCCCUAUCUCGCCACCUCUUCGGCGACCAAACCCUAGCCGCGUGCCAUGGCUGACUCCUUCCAAAACAAGGGCAAGGACCCCCUCUACCCUCGCGCCAUCUCCCCGUCGGCGGGACAGACGACGGAGGCGUAGGUAGUUGUGCCCUGCACUACAAGAAAUGUGUUAAUGCACGACGGUUCAAUUCCGUCACGGAUCAAUCAAAGACUGUCAUGCAUGCCCAUCCACGACGGAUACAAAAUUCGUCAUGUAUAUCGCGUCAUAAUUUGAUAUCAUACCUUCCACGACGGUUCUUGCCCGUCAUGGAUCUACCAGAGGCUCGCCCAACCCAAACCGAUGCCACGUAGGAUUCUCACGUGGCUGCCUAUUUGGACAUUGUUUUUGUCACAGAAUCCGUCACGGAUUUAGGCACAAUUUAAAUUUAGUCCAGCCCAUCAAUCCAUUUCUUUUGGCCCAAUAUUGACCCAAUAAACAUUUAUCAUAAUAUGUCACAGAAAUCAUAAUGCCAAUUUUGGCCAAGACAAAGGAUUUGCAAAGUGUCAUACAUUACAAAAAUAAUUCAGUAUGCAGCCAUUUGUAAGUAUAUACAACAUAACAGUUUGCAAAAUCCAAUAUGAAAUCAUAAUUGACAACAUAGAUAGGAAAAAUGUGAAACAACAUAGAUUGGUCAAAUAUGACACAACAAUGUAAAGAGCAAGUACAUUCUAGUUUACAUUAAGAGAACUAUAACGUAUUGAGGUUAUUCAGGUUCUUCCAAAUCAGCCCUCCUGGCCCUCCCCUCCUGAUGGCAACUACCAUGCCGUAGCAUAGGGCGAUGAGUAGCAUCAAGUAUCCCACCACCCAAAUGUGCCUACCAUAUUUACAAGAACAUUAGAUAUAUAUAUAUAUGAAUAGAUUGUUGAAAUGAGAGAAUUACAAGAACUACAAAAAAUAAAUUACUAGUUGUCCAAAAUUUGUAAAUCUUAUAGUGACUACAAAUGAGAAUGACAUAAUAUCUACUAUAAACAGAACAAACAUGAGGUUUCUUAGAAGUAUUCCAAAUAAAAGUGUGUCAAAUUAAUGUUUAAUAAAAUUAACCUAUACUUGACAAAGUAAUAGAACACACAUCACAGACUCCAAACACUAUAGCACAAAUAGUUGAAACUAUAUAAAUCGCUCAAGAAAAUGAUAUCACUAAGAAUCAAUAUUAAAAAUGGCGUCACUAGCAACAACAAUUGACACAUGAACAUUUGAAGUUUACAUCGGCCAAGUUGAUGACCAGCGGCAUGAAGCUCAAUUUUUUUACACGUAUAUAUGCUUAUUUUUUGGCAAUUACAAAUUGGAGAAUACUUCUACUCUGUUUUGGUUGUAUGUUGAAGACUAAUGUAACAUCUAAAGGUCCGAUAGACAGAUGACACAAACAUGCUGAAGGUUCAUAAAAACAAAAGCAACUUCCAUUCAUACUGUCCUACUAUAACAAAUUAUGAAGCACGGACACGAUGAUGCAGGGACACGAGAUACGACAAUUUUUUAAAAGAACAUCAAUACGACAAUACAAUGAGUAUAUAUAAAUAACUAAUAAAAUGCCUUGCAAUAAAGAUGGAAUUAUUGAAUGUGUGAGGUGAGAACAAAAUAGUGCCAAAUUAAUUUAUUACAUGGCUUAAGCAUUAAAUGAUGAUUAUCUAGAUACAAGCACAAUCGGAACCCAUGAACACCAAGAGAUGGCAAAUCUAGUAGUGUAUCGAUGCAAUGCAUGAUAUCAGGGAGAUGGUCCAAUGCAGAUUAUGUACGUCCAAUGCAGAUUAUGUAUGCAUAAAAAUCCAUGCAGUUAUAUUUUACUAGAACCACACAAAGUCCACACCUUGGACAACCCAAAAUCUACAACAUGAUUAUUUCAAAUCAAGAAUAAGACAAGCAGAAGAAUGUAAGGAUAUAUGAAAGCAAAGGUUUCAGCUUUCCGUAUCUCUUCUCAACAUCGAGUCAUAUGGCAAAUCUAACAAGGAAGCAUACAAAUCUAGCAGUAAUUUUUGUGCCAAGUAGUAUAACAUGCACCCAUGAGACACAAAAAUAUAACGAUUUAGGGUCACAACAAGAUUACUGGGAGCCGCUUCCAAUAGGUCUUGCAGGACUUGAGAUUUCUUAGCAACGUGGGGCAUUACCAUCAACACUUGGCAAGAGAAACAAACAGCAAAGCACAUGUGAGAUAUAUUUUGCCUUCAUAACACCACAACAAUAUUAGGCUUGUCUGUUGCUUCUUCGAUAGGGUUACUACCUCCUCCUUUUGGGCGUCCUCUGCAUCAGCAGCAUCCGAGCCCUUCUUCUCCGCAGCACUUGCAGCACCAUCUUCUCCUUCUCAUUAUCCUUAGAACAAACAAAAUUGUGUCCAUUUCAGUCCAAACUGUAGCUGAAACAGAGAACCAAGUACCAGAUUCAGCAAACAAAAACUGUGUCCAUUUCUGCAAAAAAAUAGGGAGUGUAUAACUAUCAAACAGUUUUUAUUUUGAUUCAGGCUGUUUUUUCUCUUGCAAUCACAAUUCAACACAUGUCUAUACUCACUAGUCAGUCCAGAUUCAAUAUGAAAAAAUCAUCUGUUUUCUUUUGUGCUUCAGGUGGAAUUUUAGCGCCAGUCUUUCUGUCCCGUCUAAUGAUUUGAGCGUCCGACCUGUCCACUUCCUUCUUCCCACUUGCGUGGAGAAAAAAAAACAUUUUCAAAACAUAUUCAUCUGAAUAACAAAAAACGCUAACUAGUUGGCCUGGAGAAAAAACACCUUCCUAAAAUUGACAAGAUUCCAAAACAUGAAUACAGGGUGUUGUUAUAAAAAAUCAGGAAUACAAAGCCUUAGUGGUUCAAAAUGUUAUAACCCAAACUUUUGUUUUCUGAAAGGAAGAAAUUGUAGACCAACUGAAUGUAGGCACCACUAUGUUUAUUUUAGAAGGUAUGGUUUUGCUACUCAUAUGGUUCGGCAUUAAAAAGAACAAACUUCAGGAAAUGGGUGUGCUCUCUCUAAAUUUUCUUUACUGAUCAACACACAUACCCAAACUAGACUAAUGAUGGAUCAAAGACCGACCUAAUGAAACUAAAAUAGAGGGAAAUUAAAACAAAAAAACAAACUGCAGCUAACUACAACAUGACUGAACAUAGGCAGAAAAAAUACAACACUGAAAAUUGACACUAAAAUUAAAGCUACAACGAUAGAAAAAAUACAUGAAUAUCGGUGACUGACGAGUGAGACUGACCAUAACCAAAUACUAAAUUAUCUGAUAAACUGAUACUAAAAACAAAAGCAAUAAUGAUAGAAAAUAUGAACUGAUAACUGAAAAAAGACAAGUUAGACCGAUGACUAAAUACUAAAGUAUCUGAUAAACUGAACACCAAAAUCUGAAGACCCGCCUCCUAAUAAAAACAAACUGAAGCUAACUACAACAUGACUGAAGAUAGGCAGAUAAAAAUACAAGACUGAAAACUGACACUCCAACUAAACCUACAAUGAUAGAAAAAAUUACAUGAAGACUGAAUGCCCGACGAGUGAGACUGAGCAGAACUGAAUACAAAAUUAUCUCAUAAACUGAUACUAAAAGCUAAAGAAACAAUGACAGAAAAUAUAAACUGAAAAUGAAAAAUGAAAAGUUACACUGAUGACUGAAUACUAAAGUAUCUGAUAAACAUGACUAAAUACAAAUUUUUAGCAUGUUAACAUUGAUCCCUCAAAGAAUCAACACUAAAAAAAAUGAACAAGCACAGUGACUGAUCAAAUAUGAAUACGAUAACAAUGAACUGACAUAAUGACCAAGGGACUGAAAGUCUAAUAAAGAAUAACACUGAUGUAGUGAUGAGUAAAUGUACACAUCCACACACUUUUGUUGUCGAUGCUGCUGCUAGUUCAUCAAAGCACCUCACAUUUUUGCUCCAAGAUGCCAGCAACUAAGCAUCGGUCUGUACACGUCCAGAAACUCGAGACUAGGCAUGUUAUCGCAUCCGAAUGGCCUGCAAUUAACACCCGGGGCCAAAGCACGCUCGACUGAGCACAAAUUUCACAAGGCACUCCUAGGUGACCACCAGGAACACCAACUGAGUACUUCCUGAGCAACUCAGGAAUCAGAACACGAAUCCUGACUCACAAAUGUAGAAUUAGCACAUUCGUCAUUCUUGUGUUAUGGCUUGAAAUUGCUUGGCCAGCCGCAGACAAACACCAAAUCUUGACCCCUGCAUAGUGAAUCUAACUCUCACACACCUUACAAAAAUUGCACUAGAUCCCCUUCAGAAAUAUGGAUCAUCAGUACACACAAAUUACUGAUAAACUAGUACACCCCACAAAACACAUAUAAUGUGAAAAGGGGGAAACAUAGCUGAACGCACAACCCUAGAAAUCCGUGGGCGAAAAAUCGAACUCCACGGAUCAGAUAAUCUAAGAAUCGAGAUGAUGCAGAUAUAUCUCAUGAAAUUAGUGCAAGCACGAUUAAUCCCACACAAGCAAAAAAGGAUCUGAGUUAGCGGCCACUAGCAAAUGCACGGAAAUGAGCACUAAUUACUAACUGAGAAAUUACUCGGAUGAGAGGUGGGGGUGGGAAAACACACUCGAUACAUCCCACCAGACCGGCACCGACGACUGAUUCCGACCUCACCGGCGAACACCUGCUGGUGGCGGGACUAAAGGAAAAACUCUGUCGGCCUCCUCUCUGUACCACUCUCUCCUUCCUCCUGAUAAUCUAAGAGGAGAAGAGGGAAGGGGCAGACCUGGGUAGGGGUCAGAGUAGCAAAGCUCUAUGAGUGGAGUCCGUGGCGUCUCCUCACACAUAGCCGAGUAGUAUCAAUGGAAGGAAGUAAUCCUCCUAUCCCCGGGCUGGCCCUUGAUUGUGGGGAAGGAGAUGAUAUCCAUGGCGGCAAAGCCCGCAACCUUGGCGAGGAGGCGGAGGUGGCUGCGGUAGUGGUGGAUCUGGUCGCUGCCAUGGCUGGUCAACUCUCCCAUCCAUCUCCAAAGGAGGGAAGCAGGAGGGGGUAGGAGGGCGGCUGUUGUGGGGGAUUUUGACGGUGAGGUGUGACGACGGCAUUGGGUUGCGAAUUUGGUCGACGGCUGCUCACCCAUCGGAGGGAGCGUCGGAGUGAAUCUGAAGGAGAGGAGGCGGCGGAUGCACGUGGAUAGGGUUUUCGGUGAGAGAGGCACGAGGGUGUGGGACUGUGUGUUAUGUAUUUUCACAGAUAGG
Molecule: long non-coding RNA, 8462 nt
Filed under: Hordeum vulgare
Lineage: Eukaryota; Viridiplantae; Streptophyta; Magnoliopsida; Poales; Poaceae
Description: long non-coding RNA (HVUL_LNC010443)
Source: RNAcentral